This 658-nucleotide long non-coding RNA is filed under the name Oryzias javanicus (javanese ricefish). Its description in RNAcentral is "lncRNA (ENSOJAG00000004688.1)". The record is from RNAcentral. Lineage: Eukaryota; Metazoa; Chordata; Actinopteri; Beloniformes; Adrianichthyidae.
CGUACCUCGUAGAGGUCUGGAAACUUUUCUUCCAAAAUAGCCCUAAUCUGGACCAGGCUCUUGAUAUACUGGCGGCAUGUAAGUCCAUCCCAAACUACUCAACACAGGCUUCUGAGAUGUGUAAAUGAAGUUUUUAAACAAAACUUGCAACAUUGCAGAAUCUCAACAGCAGUAGCAGCCCUGGCUUGUCAAAUGCUCUUGAGGCUCUGGGGGAGGUGAGAAGUGCCACGUUCAGCCAGGCACAAACUGCAGGAUAAAGAGGUCAUCGAUAACUGGUUCCAGAAAAAGAUCCAACUCUUCUUGGCCGCUCCAACAACAAACUUCCUUACCUGCCUCAGUGCCAACAAUUUCAGCUGCCCGACAUACCAAAUUGUUGUUAAAGCUCUCAGUAGCCAGAAGGCGUUCAUGGACAGUGAGACACAGCAGGCAGUCUUCACUAACUUCAUUCAACCAUUCCUGUCAAGAAAUGACUCAUCAGGUAAGAGUCUUUUAUUAGGUCUAUUUUUAUAAAUACAUUUUUUUGGUUGAAUGUGCUUCUGAUCUGCAGCCAGCACCUUGGUAACUGUGCUUUUACUUUUAUUUUUUUGCAGAUCCAGGAUGCAUUUCCUUUGUCAAUGGAAGCUUAAACUGGCUAGUGGCAAACUUUGGCAACUUCUCA